RNAcentral lists this ribosomal RNA (460 nucleotides) under uncultured bacterium. RNAcentral's name for it is "partial 16S ribosomal RNA". It matches the Rfam family "Bacterial small subunit ribosomal RNA", at positions 338 to 795 of the family's 1533-position model. The record is from RNAcentral.
CCUACGGGUGGCAGCAGUGAGGAAUAUUGGUCAAUGGGCGCGAGCCUGAACCAGCCAAGUAGCGUGAAGGAUGACUGCCCUACGGGUUGUAAACCUCUUUUAUAAAGGAAUAAAGUGAGGCACGUGUGCCUUUUUGUAUGUACUUUAUUAAUAAGGAUCGGCUAACUCCGUGCCAGCAGCCGCGGUAAUACGGAGGAUCCGAGCGUUAUCCGGAUUUAUUGGGUUUAAAGGGGGCGUAGAUGGGUUGUUAAGUCAGUUGUGAAAUCUUGCGGCUCAACCGUAAAAUUGCAAUUGAUACUGGCAGACUUGAGUACAGAUGAGGUAGGCGGAAUUCGUGGUGUAGCGGUGAAAUGCUUAGAUAUCACGAAGAACUCCGAUUGCGAAGGCAGCUUACUAAACUGCCACUGACGUUGAUGCACGAAAGUGUGGGUAGCGAACAGGAUUAGAUACCCGAGUAGUC